Molecule: ribosomal RNA, 492 nt
Filed under: uncultured bacterium
Lineage: Bacteria
Description: partial 16S ribosomal RNA
Rfam family: Bacterial small subunit ribosomal RNA
Source: RNAcentral
AGUGAACGCUGGCGGUAGGCCUAACACAUGCAAGUCGAACGGCAGCACAGUAAGAGCUUGCUCUUACGGGUGGCGAGUGGCGGACGGGUGCGGAAUACAUCGGAAUCUACUUUUUCGUGGGGGCGAACGUAGGGAAACUUACGCUAAUACCGCAUACGACCUACGGGUGAAAGCAGGGGAUCUUCGGCCCUUGCGCGAUUGAAUGAGCCGAUGUCGGAUUAGCUAGUUGGCGGGGUAAAGGCCCACCAAGGCGACGAUCCGUAGCUGGUCUGAGAGGAUGAUCAGCCACACUGGAACUGAGACACGGUCCAGACUCCUACGGGAGGCAGCAGUGGGGAAUAUUGGACAAUGGGCGCAAGCCUGAUCCAGCCAUACCGCGUGGGUGAAGAAGGCCUUCGGGUUGUAAAGCCCUUUUGUUGGGAAAGAAAAGCAGCAGGUUAAUACCCCGCUGUUCUGACGGUACCCAAAGAAUAAGCACCGGCUAACUUCGUG